Molecule: ribosomal RNA, 301 nt
Filed under: uncultured bacterium
Lineage: Bacteria
Description: partial 16S ribosomal RNA
Rfam family: Bacterial small subunit ribosomal RNA
Source: RNAcentral
CAGUCGCCGCGGGAAUACAGAGGGUGCGAGCGUUAAUCGGAUUUACUGGGCGUAAAGCGUGCGUAGGCGGCUUUUUAAGUCGGAUGUGAAAUCCCUGAGCUUAACUUAGGAAUUGCAUUCGAUACUGGGAAGCUAGAGUAUGGGAGAGGAUGGUAGAAUUCCAGGUGUAACGGUGAAAUGCGUAGAGAUCUGGAGGAAUACCGAUGGCGAAGGCAGCCAUCUGGCCUAUUACUGACGCUGAGGUACGAAAGCAUGGGGAGCAAACAGGAUUAGAUACCCGGGUAGUCCCUGUCUCUUAUAC